Scylla paramamosain (green mud crab) is the source of this 1218-nucleotide long non-coding RNA. RefSeq lists it as uncharacterized. The record is from RefSeq and is a predicted model, not a curated record. The transcript has 2 exons. NCBI's taxonomy places the organism in Eukaryota, Metazoa, Arthropoda, Malacostraca, Decapoda, Portunidae.
GUGCCCAACUUGAUUGCUGUGAAACAUAAGCUAGAGGAGCAGCGAUCACCACUCAUGAAACAUCUCCUUCUUUACUUGAAGGAGCUCAUGAAGGAUUAUAAAAAUGAGGUGAGGGAGAUCCUGGCAGGAGACAAACAACUAGCAAAGGAGAUAGAAUUUGACUUAAGGCGGUUUGACAAAGAGCAGUGGGAAGAGAAGAAUCAGCGUGAAGAGAAUGAUCAAAGAAUCCCAAGUAGAGAGAUCAGUAAUAAAGGCAGUAACCAUGAUACGUUGGGUUCUUCACCAGUUUUGAGAGAGAGAAGGUUAUCAGUAGUAGAGGAGCAAGAUACUUCAAGACCUUCAACAACCUGUCUACCUCCACCAGCAAAUAUUAAAGAGCUGCACACAAGGGCUCAAGUCUUUAGUAAGGAUGCUACUGCUAGAAGGAAAUCAGUAAGUGCUAGAAGGAACUGCUAGAAGGAAAUCAGUAAGUGUUGGAAGGAGAAGAGGAGACAGUGGAAUCAGCAAAAGAUGAAAGCAGGGAAGGACCAAUAAAAAACAAAACACGGUCAGAAUUACUCAGAGCCAUCAGCACUCCUUCUACUGAGAGAACACUAAUUAAUAACUUGACUUUUGUCAAUGAAACUCAAGAAUUGAGUGCCAUUAACAUAAAUUCUACAGUUGCUUCAGAAAAAAGUAAUGCUGGGGAGCUGCAGCUUCACUCUACCAGCCCAACAUCUCAUAAACAUGAAUCUGACUUCAGCCGCCUCCGCAAAACUUCAAAAGACAUGCAGCAAGAUCCUAUCGAGUCAAGGAAAGAUAAAGCAAAAGGUAAAAAGAAGGUCACAGGACAAUUGUUUGAAUCAUUUGAAGCAGAAAGUUCUCUUAGUGAGGCAGAAUCCACUUGUGAGAGUGAUGUUUCAGCAGUUACAGCUGUUAAGAGAAAUGAAGGGAAGAGAACUCGGCAUGUGGCUUCCCUAAGUCCUGACCCAGAAAAAAACAAAUCUAACACACAGACUGAAAGACCUAAACUUAAGAAACACAAAAAAAAGACAUAAAAGUGUACAUGCUGUUUAUGUUAUCUGUAAUUUUAAAGUUGCAAAGGCUUCAUUUCUGUUGUAAAGCAUAAAUAAUCUUAUGCAUAAAAAUUGUAUUAUAUAUUAAAUUUCGCCUUUGGUAGCAUUCAUUUACUGUGUUUCAUUAUUCUAGUGAGUUUAUAAAUAUUUUUUACUGCAUAAA